This 236-nucleotide unclassified non-coding RNA is filed under the name uncultured bacterium. RNAcentral describes it as "contains 16S-23S intergenic spacer region". The record is from RNAcentral.
UCCGGCUUAACGCCGGCAGUCCCCCCAGAGUCCGCCGUUGUCUAGCCCAGGUAAGGUUCUUCGCGUUGCGUCGAAUUGAACCACAUGCUCCACCGCUUGUGCGGGCCCCCGUCAAUUCCUUUGAGUUUUAGCCUUGCGGCCGUACUCCCCAGGCGGGGCACUUCAUGCGUUAGCGCCGGUACCCCGGGGGUCGCUCCCCAGAGCACCUAGUGCCCAUCGUUUACGGCGUGGACUAC